Contarinia nasturtii (swede midge) is the source of this 1783-nucleotide long non-coding RNA. RefSeq lists it as uncharacterized. Lineage: Eukaryota; Metazoa; Arthropoda; Insecta; Diptera; Cecidomyiidae. The record is from RefSeq and is a predicted model, not a curated record. The transcript is spliced from 2 exons.
UAUCUACAUUUUAUAUUGACGUUUAAAUAAAAAAAAAACACAUUUAGCCGCACACUGUGUGUUUAUUUCCAAUGCUAAUUUCAAAACGAAAGCAGAAUUAAAUUGUGAUUGAAGUGCAUGGAUUGAUAUUAUUUAUGAUUUGCCGCGAAAAUUAAGAUAAUUUUUAUUGAACUUUUCUAAAACCAACAUGAUGAUGACAUCAUGAUGUAUAUUUAUUUUAUUUCUUUUUAUUUGCCAUUUCAUAUUAAAGUACUGAACUCGGUUAUAAUUUUUGGACCAUAAAAAUGACAUUAAUUGACAUUUAUACGAGAAAAAAUGAAGGUCGACGUCGAAAAAUGAAGGUCACCCACGGAAAUUCGGCAAUUCAAACUAAAUAAUGGAUUACUUUAGAAUCAAAGUUCACGACGUGCAGAAAAGAAUGAAAGGAAUUAAAAUGCUUACCAGAACUAUGGAUUGUGGAAUGACUGCUUCAAAAACCUUGAAAUUUCAAUCUGAAAUAUUUAUUACUGGUAAUUGUCUAUGGAGUAAGUAAACGUCACUGAAAUGAGAAAAAAUUUAAAACACAAAUUACAUAAUUUUAUUUUGAAUUUAAUUUAUUCUAUAAUUGAACAUUGAAUAGAACUUAAGCAAGAACAAUUUCUAAUGAAUUCUUAUUAUUGAGGAUUACGUAUCAAUGUUGUCAAGUUAAUCGAGCAAAAGACAGUAGGUAAAAAUAAUGGUAACAAGUGUUUUUUACAAUGAGGUUCACACUUUUGCAUUAAUACUCGUCAAAAUCGUGCCAUAAUUUGGCAUUUUCUAUUAAAUUAUUAAUUGCAUUUCCAAAAUGGUCGUUUUCGUAUUAAUUUCAAAUUUCAGAUACAACAUAAAAUAUUGGUGACUGCUGUUUAUUUUUUUAUACAGCAGUAUGACGUUCAGUUGAUUGUUGUCUUCGAGAUGUGCCAUUUGAACCGUAUGCGAUUGCAUGUGAUCGAACAGCACCUUUACCUAAAAUAAUAAUUUACCACAAAAUAAUAAAUUUUAAAAGCAUACUUGGAUUAGAUAAUGAAUAUAUAUAUGAUUUGUAUAUAUGAACCCAUUUUUUUUACCAGUUGAAUAGGCAUUUGCAACGGCAAUUGUACCGCCAGCAGCACGUCCAAAGCUAACUGGGAAAAAGGUGUAAACUGGCGAUCCUCCGUUUCUUAAUGGUUUGCCUGGCUUUUGUGGUGCUGUUGUUGGUUGCACUUGUACUUGUGGCUCUUCAGCAGCAAUAACUUUACUUUCUGGUUCUGGGGUAAAUGGAGCAAGUGGAACAACAGGUGCAAUAUUUUCGGUGGAGUCAUUAAGUGUUUCGGAAACUGCUGGUACGACAUUCAACGGAACAACUUCAUUGUAUUGAUCUUCACCUUGAUCAAAUUGAACAGUUCCUUGAAUAGGUACUUCUGGAUAGGCUUCAGCAAUGGCCUCAACAUUACCAUCAUUGGACGAUUGCUCUUGAGCAACAGCAUGUGGGACAUCCUCAGCGGGAACUUGAUUUUCUAUCGAACAAAAAACAACAUUUUGCAAAAAUUAUGUUAAAUUAUUAUUAUAACCUAACCUAAGUAUACCUCUAACUACAGUUCCAGCAGCUAUAGAAUCACCUAGGGCAAAUGCACUUGUACUACCAGCUGAACGGCCAUACUGAGAUGGUGCAUAGUGCACAAACAUUGCUUGAUGGUAUGGAUGAUAGUAUGGCAUGUUGUAGUAUAACAUUCCUUUUUAUCGAAAUAAAAAUAGACAAAGAUCAAUAAAUUGAAUUUCAAAAGAA